This 465-nucleotide ribosomal RNA is filed under the name uncultured bacterium. RNAcentral's name for it is "partial 16S ribosomal RNA". It matches the Rfam family "Bacterial small subunit ribosomal RNA", at positions 338 to 795 of the family's 1533-position model. The record is from RNAcentral.
CCUACGGGGGGCUGCAGUAGGGAAUUUUCGUCAAUGGGCGCAAGCCUAAACGAGCGAUGCCGCGUGAGUGAAGAAGGCCUUCGGGUCGUAAAGCUCUGUUUCGGGGGAAAAAAGGCAGCAUCAGGAAAUGGGUGCUGACUGAUGGUGCCCCGCCAGAAAGUCACGGCUAACUACGUGCCAGCAGCCGCGGUAAUACGUAGGUGGCGAGCGUUAUCCGGUAUGAUUGGGCGUAAAGGGUGCGCAGACGGUACUGCAAGUCUGGAGUGAAACGGAUGAGCUCAACUCAUGCAUGGCUUUGGAAACUGGAGGACUGGAGAGCAGGAGAGGGAGGUGGAACUCGAUGUGUAGCGGUGAAAUGCGUAGAUAUAUGGAAGAACACCAGUGGCGAAGGCGGCCGCCUGGCCUGUUGCUGACGCUGAGGCACGAAAGCGUGGGGAGCAAAUAGGAUUAGAUACCCCAGUAGUC